Molecule: small nuclear RNA, 163 nt
Organism: Neoarius graeffei (lesser salmon catfish)
Lineage: Eukaryota; Metazoa; Chordata; Actinopteri; Siluriformes; Ariidae
Product: U1 spliceosomal RNA
Exons: 1
Source: RefSeq, a predicted model, not a curated record
UUAUCUCCCUGGCAGGGAAGAUACCUUGAUCAAGAAGGUGGUUCUCUCAGGGCGAGGCUCAGCCAUUGCACUCCAGUUGUCUGACCUUUGCGAAUUCCCCAAAUGUGGGAAUCUCAACUACAUAAUUUGGGGUAGUGGGGGACUGCAUUUGCACUCUCCCCCU